AGUCCAACUCUAUGCUAGCUAGUUUAUAUGCCAAGCUGUGCUAAGCAUCUAAUUUAACUGGACUCAUAUUAGACUUAGACGUUUUAAUAUCCUAGUGCCCGAAGAUUUGAAACCUCUUCUUGCUCUCUUGGAACUUAAAUCGACA
RNAcentral lists this small nucleolar RNA (145 nucleotides) under Drosophila mojavensis. RNAcentral's name for it is "snoRNA:GI25415". The record is from RNAcentral. Lineage: Eukaryota; Metazoa; Arthropoda; Insecta; Diptera; Drosophilidae.